AACGAACGCUGGCGGCAUGCCUAACACAUGCAAGUCGAACGAUCCCUUCGGGGAUAGUGGCGCACGGGUGCGUAACGCGUGGGAACCUGCCCUUAGGUUCGGAAUAACUCAGAGAAAUUUGAGCUAGUACCGGAUAAUGUCUUCGGACCAAAGAUUUAUCGCCUUUGGAUGGGCCCGCGUUGGAUUAGCUAGUUGGUGGGGUAAAGGCCUACCAAGGCGACGAUCCAUAGCUGGUCUGAGAGGAUGAUAAGCCACACUGGGACUGAGACACGGCCCAGACUCCUACGGGAGGCAGCAGUGGGGAAUAUUGGACAAGGGGCGAAAGCCUGAUACAGCAAUGCCGCGUGAGUGAUGAAGGGCGUAGGGUUGUAAAGCUGUUUUACCCGGGAUGAUAAUGACAGUACCGGGAGAAUAAGCCCCGGCUAACUCCGUG
This 433-nucleotide ribosomal RNA is filed under the name uncultured bacterium. Its description in RNAcentral is "partial 16S ribosomal RNA". It matches the Rfam family "Bacterial small subunit ribosomal RNA", at positions 29 to 507 of the family's 1533-position model. The record is from RNAcentral.